Molecule: ribosomal RNA, 425 nt
Filed under: uncultured bacterium
Lineage: Bacteria
Description: partial 16S ribosomal RNA
Rfam family: Bacterial small subunit ribosomal RNA
Source: RNAcentral
GUGGGGAAUCUUAGACAAUGGGGGAAACCCUGAUCUAGCCAUGCCGCGUGAGCGAUGAAGGCCUUAGGGUUGUAAAGCUCUUUCAGCUGGGAAGAUAAUGACUGUACCAGCAGAAGAAGCCCCGGCUAACUCCGUGCCAGCAGCCGCGGUAAUACGGAGGGGGCUAGCGUUGUUCGGAAUUACUGGGCGUAAAGCGCACGUAGGCGGACCGGAAAGUCAGAGGUGAAAUCCCAGGGCUCAACCUUGGAACUGCCUUUGAAACCCCUGGUCUUGAGGUCGAGAGAGGUGAGUGGAAUUCCGAGUGUAGAGGUGAAAUUCGUAGAUAUUCGGAGGAACACCAGUGGCGAAGGCGGCUCACUGGCUCGGUACUGACGCUGAGGUGCGAAAGCGUGGGGAGCAAACAGGAUUAGAUACCCGUGUAGUCC